CAUCCAUCUAUCACCUAUCAUCCAUCCAUCCAUCCACCUAUCUAUCACCUCACCCCAGUCAUUUAGUGUUACCUGUGUGUACAUGUGUUUAAGGAUGAUCAGUUGGGAUCAGGUAAUCUAUCAGGGGCACACCCCUUAAGAAAAAUGAUUCUUCUCUCAGAAGUCAUUGACUGCCUUCAUAUAUGGAGGGAGUCUUGUGAAAAUUUCCGAAUCUACUAUGGCCUAUUGAUUGGCAUUGAUUGUCAUUGUACAGGUUUUAUGAAGGCAGCCAUAUUAAGAUGGCGUGGGUGCAUCUUCUCUGUUAUAUAUAGGAGACCCUGUCUCACAGCAGGUGUCCUGAUCCUAUGGCUCUACAAAUCUUCCUGCCCUCUUUCCUGCGAUGUUCUCUGAGCUUCAGGUGUAGGGGUUGGGUUGAAGAUAUAACAGUUGGGGCUAGAAACCUCCAAGUCACAUUUUCUUGACCUCAAAGUCACAUGUGCUUUGACCAGUUGUAGAUCUCUGUAGUAGCCUCGGAGUACAAA
This is a long non-coding RNA of Rattus rattus (black rat), 521 nucleotides long. RefSeq lists it as uncharacterized. The transcript is spliced from 2 exons. Lineage: Eukaryota; Metazoa; Chordata; Mammalia; Rodentia; Muridae. The record is from RefSeq and is a predicted model, not a curated record.